Non-coding RNA from Salmo salar (Atlantic salmon), 58 nucleotides. Lineage: Eukaryota; Metazoa; Chordata; Actinopteri; Salmoniformes; Salmonidae. The record is from Rfam.
UAGCUCAGUUGGUAGAGCAUGAUGUUUGCAACGCCAGGGUUGUGGGUUUGAUUCCCAC